Molecule: ribosomal RNA, 263 nt
Filed under: uncultured bacterium
Lineage: Bacteria
Description: partial 16S ribosomal RNA
Rfam family: Bacterial small subunit ribosomal RNA
Source: RNAcentral
GGCCUCCUACGGGACGCAGCAGUGAGGGAUAUUGGUCAAUGGGGGAGACCCUGAACCAGCAACGCCGCGUGAGGGAAGACGGUUUUCGGAUUGUAAACCUCUGUCCUCUGUGCAGAUAAUGACGGUAGCAGAGGAGGAAGCUCCGGCUAACUACGUGCCAGCAGCCGCGGUAAUACGUAGGGAGCGAGCGUUGUCCGGAUUUACUGGGUGUAAAGGGUGCGUAGGCGGCCCUGCAAGUCAGGAGUGAAAUCCAUGGGCUUAAC